AUUGAACGCUGGCGGAAUGCUUUACACAUGCAAGUCGAACGGCAGCACGGGGCAACCUGGUGGCGAGUGGCGAACGGGUGAGUAAUACAUCGGAACGUGCCCAAUCGUGGGGGAUAACGUAGCGAAAGUUACGCUAAUACCGCAUACGAUCUACGGAUGAAAGCGGGGGAUCGCAAGACCUCGCGCGAAUGGAGCGGCCGAUGUCAGAUUAGGUAGUUGGUGGGGUAAAGGCUCACCAAGCCGACGAUCUGUAGCUGGUCUGAGAGGACGACCAGCCACACUGGGACUGAGACACGGCCCAGACUCCUACGGGAGGCAGCAGUGGGGAAUUUUGGACAAUGGGCGCAAGCCUGAUCCAGCCAUUCCGCGUGCAGGAUGAAGGCCUUGGGUUGUAAAC
This 397-nucleotide ribosomal RNA is filed under the name uncultured bacterium. Its description in RNAcentral is "bacterial SSU rRNA". It matches the Rfam family "Bacterial small subunit ribosomal RNA", at positions 30 to 430 of the family's 1533-position model. The record is from RNAcentral.